UGGUCUACUUUCAACUUCU
RNAcentral lists this non-coding RNA (19 nucleotides) under Arabidopsis thaliana (thale cress). The record is from RNAcentral. Lineage: Eukaryota; Viridiplantae; Streptophyta; Magnoliopsida; Brassicales; Brassicaceae.